This 253-nucleotide ribosomal RNA is filed under the name uncultured bacterium. RNAcentral describes it as "partial 16S ribosomal RNA". It matches the Rfam family "Bacterial small subunit ribosomal RNA", at positions 524 to 776 of the family's 1533-position model. The record is from RNAcentral.
UACGUAGGGGGCAAGCGUUGUCCGGAAUUAUUGAGCGUAAAGGACGUGUAGGCGGUAUAGUAAGUCAGGUGUGAAAUUUUGGGGCUCAACCCCAAACUUGCACUUGAAACUGCUGUACUUGAGUACUGGAGAGGUAAGCGGAAUUCCUAGUGUAGCGGUGAAAUGCGUAGAGAUUAGGAGGAACACCAGUGGCGAAGGCGGCUUACUAGACAGUUACUGACGCUGAGACGCGAAAGCGUGGGGAGCAAACAGG